UAUGCAGUUUUGUACCAUGGCUCAACCAAGUCAGUUUGUCCUUCAAAUUCCUUAGACACCCAAAAAAUCCGGGCAUUGGUUGGAGAAAGCUGAUUCAUCACUGAAUGAAUUAUGCUUGGGCUGAAUUUGGAAGGCAUGGAGGAUUGAANNUAGCCAAUCUUUUGGAGGAUAUAACUGCAUAUUUGAUGCAAUUUCAAUUGCAUAAUAGAUUGGAGAGAUUUUGUCUUGAUAAUGAAAAUUUGUCUCACAAAUUCCGGCAAGCUCAUCGAAUAUCCAUUUGCGAACACCAGAUUCUUGUAAAAGGUGNNNNNNNNUUGAUAAUGAAAAUUUGUCUCACAAAUUCCGGCAAGCAUGACCAUCAUCAGUAAGAUCAAUUGUCACUUUGAAGAAAGAAAACUCCCGAUUUUGACCAUCUUCAUUUGCAUACAAACUUGUAGCCCAUCCCAAUGAUUUCAAGAUGGAAAACAAAGAUCCUUCUCCUUCAUGG
This 487-nucleotide unclassified non-coding RNA is filed under the name Hevea brasiliensis (rubber tree). The record is from RNAcentral. Lineage: Eukaryota; Viridiplantae; Streptophyta; Magnoliopsida; Malpighiales; Euphorbiaceae.